UACGUAGGGUCCGAGCGUUGUCCGGAAUUAUUGGGCGUAAAGGGCUCGUAGGCGGUUUGUCGCGUCGGCCGUGAAAACUUGGGGCUUAACCCCAAGCUUGCGGUCGAUACGGGCAGACUUGAGUUCGGCAGGGGAGACUGGAAUUCCUGGUGUAGCGGUGAAAUGCGCAGAUAUCAGGAGGAACACCGGUGGCGAAGGCGGGUCUCUGGGCCGAUACUGACGCUGAGGAGCGAAAGCAUGGGGAGCGAACAGG
This 253-nucleotide ribosomal RNA is filed under the name uncultured bacterium. RNAcentral's name for it is "partial 16S ribosomal RNA". It matches the Rfam family "Bacterial small subunit ribosomal RNA", at positions 524 to 776 of the family's 1533-position model. The record is from RNAcentral.